UGCUUAUGUCUCAACUUUCGAG
This 22-nucleotide unclassified non-coding RNA is filed under the name Mus musculus (house mouse). Its description in RNAcentral is "oocyte_clustered_small_RNA9101". The record is from RNAcentral. Lineage: Eukaryota; Metazoa; Chordata; Mammalia; Rodentia; Muridae.